Molecule: unclassified non-coding RNA, 227 nt
Filed under: plant metagenome
Description: partial contains small subunit ribosomal RNA, internal transcribed spacer 1, and 5.8S ribosomal RNA
Source: RNAcentral
UUUCCGUAGGUGAACCUGCGGAAGGAUCAUUAAAGAAUUUGCCCCGUCCUCUCGAGGAUGGGUCCUCUUCUAAACCGUGUAUACAUACCUUUGUUGCUUUGGCGGGCCGCCGUCUCGGCGUUGGCUUCGGCUGACUGUGCCUGCCAGAGAACCCCAACUCUCCUGUUUAGUAUUGUCUGAGUACUAUAUAAUAGUUAAAACUUUCAACAACGGAUCUCUUGGUUCUG